Long non-coding RNA from Cavia porcellus (domestic guinea pig), 2754 nucleotides. RefSeq lists it as uncharacterized. The transcript is spliced from 3 exons. NCBI's taxonomy places the organism in Eukaryota, Metazoa, Chordata, Mammalia, Rodentia, Caviidae. The record is from RefSeq and is a predicted model, not a curated record.
CAGCCUGGCCUUUUGACCCCAAGCCUGCUGCACAGAGGGCAGGGGCUGUCCCCAAGCGGUGCUUCCUGGGGCUGGGGCUGGAGGCAUGUGCCUCUCCCCAUUCCAGAAUCUGAGGUGUGAGCACCAAAGCCGGGCAGGCCAGGAGGCCGGGAAGAAGGGGCAGGUGGUGCAUGAGGGAUGGUCCAGCUCAGACCUCCGGCUUGAGGACCAGGAAACCCCGCAGGAGGAGACAGGCAUUGAAUCUGGGGUCUUCGCACUGAGCUAUAUCCAAAACUGGAACCUUCCUGCCUCAGCCUCCCAGAAAGCAACAAUUACAACUGUGCAUCACCACGCCAGGUUUGCCAAAGCUUUUCAAGCCCAAGCAUGGUGUGAUAGGGCAAGGUCUAGACCCUGCACAGACUCCUUUCACAGAAGAGCAACAGGGUACUGUGCCAGCCUCCUGGCCACACCUCUGCCGUACCCCCUCUGGGGCAUCCUCCCACGGUGACACCCACACCUACAGCCUGCGGAGGAGCUGUCCAUGCAUCUGGGACUUGCGCUCCAUGGGCAUCUCCUAUGGAGGCACCUUCCACAUCCGCCCUCUCCAUUGCUUUGUGAAAACCUCCCAACAUGGUUCUGGUGGAGGAGAGAAGCUCAGCAUAACCAACUUGAAAUCUUUGUUCAGCAGUAAGGAAACAGGGAAAAAGAGAUGCGCCUUCUGCUCGGUGGUGCCUCCCUAUUUUGGCCUGUUAUACUCACACCUGCAUUUACAAUCUCUGAUGCUAAGCGAGCAAUUCAGUGCUUCCUUUUAACAUGUAAUGUAGUUUCUCAAGCUGACAUAGCCUCUGAGGUACCGGGAGGGACGCUUGCCUCCAGGUCCCCAGGUUCUUUUCUGCAUCCCAUCUGUACGUGUAUCAGAUCACAAAUUCCAUGUUAGCCACACCCCAGCUUAUCACCUUUACUUAUGUUUUCCUCUGAUUUAGAAUGUCCAGAAUACAAACAGCCAAUCACUGGCCACUAAAGAAAUGCAAAUUAAUACGAGCCAGAAACCCCAUCUUAUCCCAGAAAGAAUGGCCAUCACCAAAAAGUCAAAUAAUAACAAAUGCUGGCGAGGCCAUGGAGGGUUGAUAAGGAAUGAUUUUACAUGCUGGUGGGAAGGUAAACUAGUACAAUUAUGGGAAUCAGUCUGGAGAAUCCUCAAAACACUGAAACUGGAGUUCCAUUUGACCCAGCUGUUCCCCUUCUAGGUAUCUUCUUUUUUUUUUAAUCUUUUUUUGGUACCAGGGAUUGAACUCAUGACCACUUGCUUGCAAGGCAAGUGCUUAUGCCACUGAGCUAAAUCCCCAGCCCCUCUAGGCAUCUUCUUGAAAGAGCUAAAGACAUCUGUCUUGGUUACUUUUCUCUCGAUGUUGAAACAAAAUACCUGACACUCAAAAUGAAGCAAGGAAAGGUUUCAGUCCAUACCCUGCUGGCCCCAAGAUGCAGUGGCAGAGCUAAGGGACAGCCAUUCAGAGCUGCUGCAAGCAACAAGAGUGAACAGAGUAAAAAGGGAAACAAUCACGAAUGCUAGAUUCAGCUGCCUCCACGAUAGCUUGAAGCUUGGGAGGGGCAUCCAAACACAAAUCAUGACAAUAUCAUAUGACAGUGAUUCAUGCACAUCCAUGUUUAUAACAGCACAACUCAUAAUGGCUAAAUCUUGGAAGCAGCAUAUAUGUCCACCAACAGAAGAAUGGAUAAAGAAAAUGUGAUAGUUACAUACAAUGGAGCACUACCUUGCCAUAAAGAAGGAUAAACUUAAGUCAUUGUAGGAAAAGAAAAUGGAAGCACUUUGAGGUCAUAAUGUGAAGUGAAAUAAAUCAGACAUACAAUCUUAAAUAUUGAAUGGUUUCCCUUACAUGAGAAACCCAAAGUAUAAACAAAGAGCAAAAUAAGAAGAUAGAUAAAAGGAAAUGGCACUAACUCCACACAAAGAAUGUAAACAAUAUAUACUACAGAUGUACACUAAUAAACCUAAAUUUAAAAAGAAUGCCCUUCCACAUUUUUUUCACUGUUGGCACCAGCCCCAAGCUGCUUGGUGCACCUCAGAAUAGCUCUGUUCAAAAGCACUAGACAUAAAGGUUCUCCAAGCUGAGAUAGGCACUGUAGGUCAUCUAGUCUAUUGCACUUACCUUACAUUUGGCAGAACCAAGGCACAGGGAAAUAACACAUCAGAUCUGGAGCCCAGGACUCCAGGCAUCGUAUGGAGCAGUCCUUUUGUUUCUUGCAACAUAUUGAGCAAUUUCGUUCAAAUACUGUUGCCCAUUUUUACAAUGGGUCUCUGAUGGUUGCAUGUCAAGGAAAUCUGUAACUGCCCCAUGACCAUGUCUGACAAUGCCACAAAAUGACAGCACUUACUUGGCACAUGUCUGAAGUGCUAUAAUGGAAUAUCCUGUGGGAUCUAAAUGCUGAAACAUUUUUCAUCUCUGCAUUGAACAACAAAGGCAGCUCCAGAAAAUGCCAGUCAGACUCACCUGCUGCAGAGAAGUGCAAAAUUAUAUGCUGAUGUAUUAACAUCUCAUAAUUCUCUGAAAUCAGUUUUUAAAUAUUUCUAAAAACCAGGGGCCUAGGGAGAUAGCUCAGCAGCACAAGCGCCUGCCUGGCAAGUGCAAACUCCUGACUUUGAUUCCUGGUACUAAUACAUACAUACACACAGACAUACCAAUACACUAUACAAAUGUAACAAUUAGAUCAGCUAAAUUUAGUAGCUGUUCAAUAAAGGUGAGUUGAAUGAAUGGA